Molecule: ribosomal RNA, 433 nt
Filed under: uncultured bacterium
Lineage: Bacteria
Description: partial 16S ribosomal RNA
Rfam family: Bacterial small subunit ribosomal RNA
Source: RNAcentral
AACGAACGCUGGCGGCAUGCCUAACACAUGCAAGUCGAGCGAGCCCUUCCGGUCGAGUGCCGCAGGGGUGCGUGUAGCGUGGGAACAUGCCCUCAGUGUCGCAGUAACUCCCCGAGAGAGGUGCUCUUAUAGGGGAAUCUCCCCUGUCCAAAGAUUUAUUGCCGUAGGAUGGGCCCGCGUUGGAUUAGCUAGUUGGUAGGGUAAAAGCCUACCAAGGCGACGAUCCCUAGCUGGUCUGAGAGGAUGAUCAGCCACACUGGGACUGAGACACGGCCCAGACUCCUACGGGAGGCAGCAGUGGGGAAUAUUGGACAAUGGGCGAAAGCCUGAUCCAGCAAUGCCGCGUGAGUGAUGAAGGCCUUAGGGUUGUAAAGCUCUUUUAUCCGGGACGAUAAUGACAGUACCGGGAGAAUAAGCCCCGGCUAACUCCGUG